RNA transcript from Ailuropoda melanoleuca (giant panda), 4080 nucleotides. It is a transcript of the gene named RAS p21 protein activator 3, with no coding region annotated. NCBI's taxonomy places the organism in Eukaryota, Metazoa, Chordata, Mammalia, Carnivora, Ursidae. The transcript has 24 exons. The record is from RefSeq and is a predicted model, not a curated record.
GGACCCGGCGCGCGCGGAGUCUGGCGCAGAGCGCUGGGACUGCGCCGCCGCUCGGGCUCCGGCUUCUCCGCGGGGCUCGGCGCGCGAAUUCUGGCGAGGCCCGCGGGCUCCCGGGCGGGCGACCCAGCAUGGCGGUGGAGGAAGAGGGGCUCCGGGUCUUCCAGAGCGUGAAGAUCAAGAUCGGUGAAGCCAAAAAUCUUCCCACUUACCCGGGGCCAAACAAGAUGCGAGAUUGCUACUGCACUGUGAACCUGGACCGGGAGGAGGUUUUCAGGACCAAAAUUGUGGAGAAGUCACUCUGCCCCUUCUAUGGAGAAGACUUCUACUGUGAGAUCCCUCGGAGCUUUCGGCACCUGUCCUUUUACAUUUUCGAUAGAGAUGUUUUCCGGAGGGACUCCAUCAUAGGGAAGGUGGCCAUUCAGAAGGAGGACUUGCCAAAGUAUCACAACAGGGACACUUGGUUCCAGCUGCAGCACGUGGACGCCGACUCAGAAGUGCAGGGCAAAGUCCACCUGGAGCUGAGGCUGAGUGAGGUCAUCACCGACACGGGCGUCGUCUGCCACAAGCUGGCCACGCGCAUCCUCGAGUGCCAAGGCCUCCCCAUCGUGAAUGGGCAGUGUGACCCUUACGCGACUGUGACUCUAGCAGGACCAUACAGAUCGGAAGCAAAGAAGACAAAAGUGAAGAAGAGGACCGACAACCCCCAGUUUGAUGAAGUGUUUUAUUUUGAGGUGACCAGACCCUGCAGCUACAGCCGAAAGUCCCACUUUGACUUCGAGGAGGAGGACGUGGACAAACUUGAAAUCCGAGUUGACCUCUGGAAUGCCAGCAACUUGAAAUUUGGAGAUGAGUUUCUGGGAGAGCUGAGGGUUCCGCUGAAUGUGCUCCGCCAGUCCAGCUGCUAUGAAGCCUGGUACUUCCUUCAGCCCCGAGACAACGGCAGCAAGAGCCUGAAGCCGGGGGACUUGGGGUCCCUGCGGCUGAACGUGGUGUACACCGAGGACCAUGUCUUCUCCUCCGACUACUACAGCUCGCUGCGGGACCUGCUGUUGAGGUCUGCGGACGUGGAGCCAGUGUCGGCAUCCGCGGCGCACGUCCUGGGUGAGGUCUGCAGGGAGAAGCAGGAGGCAGCCGUCCCGCUCGUGCGGUUCUUCCUGCAUUACGGCAGGGUGGUGCCCUUCAUCAGCGCCAUUGCCAACGCCGAGGUCCAGAGGACCCAGGACCCCAACACCAUUUUCCGAGGAAACUCGUUGACAUCCAAGUGCAUUGACGAGACGAUGAAGCUGGCCGGGAUGCACUACCUACACGUGACCCUGAAGCCCACCAUAGAGGAGAUAUGCCAGAGCCACAAAUCCUGUGAAAUCGACCCCGUGAAGCUAAAAGAUGGGGAGAACCUGGAAAACAACAUGGAGAACCUACGGCAGUACGUGGACCGAAUCUUCCACGUCAUCACCAAGUCGGGAGUGAGCUGCCCCACCGUCAUGUGUGACAUCUUCUUCUCUCUUCGCGAGGCGGCCGCCAAACGCUUCCAGGAUGACCUGGACGUGAGGUACACGGCUGUGAGCGGCUUCAUUUUCCUGAGGUUUUUCGCUCCUGCCAUCCUGUCCCCCAACCUCUUCCAGCUCACGCCUCACCACACAGACCCACAGACGUCUAGGACGCUGACACUUAUCUCCAAGACUAUUCAGACUCUUGGCAGCUUGUCCAAGUCAAAAUCUGCCAGCUUUAAGGAAUCCUACAUGGCUGCAUUCUAUGAAUUCUUCAAUGAGCAAAAAUACGCUGAUGCAGUAAAAAACUUUUUAGAUCUGAUCUCAUCAUCUGGGAGAAGAGACCCCAAGAGCAUAGAGCAACCCAUCCUGCUUAAGGAAGGGUUCAUGAUUAAGAGGGCACAAGGACGGAAACGUUUUGGAAUGAAGAAUUUUAAGAAAAGAUGGUUCCGCCUGACCAACCAUGAGUUUACCUACCAGAAAAGCAAAGGAGACCAGCCUCUGUGCAGCAUUCCCAUCGAGAACAUUCUGGCCGUGGAGGGACUGGAGGAGGAGUCCUUCAAGAUGAAGAAUAUGUUCCAGGUCAUCCAGCCCGAGCGAGCCCUGUACAUCCAGGCCAACAACUGUGUGGAGGCCAAGGCCUGGAUCGACAUCCUCACCAAGGUCAGCCAGUGCAACAAGAAACGCCUCACUGUCUACCACCCAUCCGCCUACCUGAACGGCCACUGGCUAUGCUGCAGGGCCUCCUCGGACACGGCCCCGGGCUGCUCCCCCUGCACCGGCGGCCUCCCAGCAAACAUCCAGCUGGACAUCGAUGGGGACCGAGAGACCGAGCGCAUUUACUCCCUCUUCAACUCGUACAUGAGCAAACUGGAGAAAAUGCAAGUCGCCCUGCCCUGGGCAGGGUGUCCGUGGAGUUCCUGCCCUGACCUCCGGCCCCUCCCAACGCCGCAGAGGCCUGUGGCAGCAGGUCUGUGUACGACGGACCGGAGCAGGAGGAGUACUCGACAUUCAUCAUUGACGACCCCCAGGAGACCUACAAGACACUAAAGCAGGUCAUCGCUGGGGUCGGGGCCCUGGAACAGGAGCACGCCCAGUACAAAAGGGACAAGUUCAAGAAGACCAAGUACGGGAGCCAGGAGCACCCCAUUGGCGACAAGAGCUUCCAGAGUUACAUCAGGCAGCAGUCCGAGACCUCCACCCAUUCCAUCUGAAGCACGAUGUUCUGUCCCAGGACGGUGCCCUGUGCUGCUCGGGAAAGCUGCAGUCUUCAGGAAGGAGGGAACAGAGACAGGACAGUAGAGCAAGGGAUCCACGCUCCUGCAGCUCCCCUCUGAGCAGCGCCGGGCUCACCUCCGAGACGCUCCAGGGGCCGUGUCUGGGGUUGCUGGUGCGCUGACCUCACACAGGUGGCAGGCGACCUAGCUGGCCUCUCUGGAAGGAGGCACCAGGGACGCCGCGCCCUCUGCAGACUUAGCGCUUGUGUGUCCUGUGCACUUUCACCUUGGCUGGGCUCUGCGUGCCCGCGCCCGUGGAGCCCUCCGGCCCCCUCCUUUCACACACUGUGCUUCAGCAAAACCAGGACGCUGUGCGCGUUGUCUCCCGUGAGGCUGCCUGCUGGCGGCCGUGGGCUCCGGCCCUCCGGUUCCGGCCGUUGACGUUGGCGGUAAUCCUGGCUGAAGGUCCGUGUGUAGUUUCUUUGUGCAAUCCUGCACGAAGACCCCAGUGCGAGGCUGCUCCUGGUGUUUGGGGGAAUGGGGUCCUUCUGCAGAGAGUACCUGGGGGGGGUCCAGUCUGCUCUCCCAGACACUGGUGUCCCUCUCCCGUGGGCUGCGGGCGCUGCCGGAGCCGGCGACGGGCCGCGCUGAGCAUCCACGCCAGCCCCCUUGGAGCAAAAGUGGCUGGUUUGCUGUCAGUGGAACUUCAAGUAGAAGCCACGUCAGCCACCCCUUCUGGAAGUUUGGGGAAGUUCCAAAAAUAGAAACGUGCAUUAUUUUCAAGCUGUUUUUCUUAGUGUUUUUAAAGAACCAUUUCUAGUGUGCUCUUUGAUACCAAGUACCUCAGUACAUCUAGACCUGUACCCCUCACGGGGGGGGUGCCCAGCAGGGCCACAAAGGGGGUGAGCUGCUUCUCCCAGAAGCCGGUGGAAGGCCCUCCAGACACCAAGGAAGGCGGAUUCCUGAGCCUUGGAGACCCCCAGCCCCCAGGAGCAGGACUUUGCUGGGUCUCUGUGAAGCCCCCAGAAGAUGUCAGGCAGUGGUGGGUGCUUUUCUGUUGGGGCGGGGGGUCCUGACGUGGGGCAGUGAGCCUUUGAGCUUGGAGAGCACUGUUCAAACACACAGACCUUCUGCCAUCUCUGCUUUUAUUUGCAAAUACUGUCCUUCAGACUCUGAACAAUGGCAGAUAGUAACGUUACUUGUCACGAAAGCGGUGGAGGAAAGUGUUGCAAAAAAUAAACUUUGGGACACACAGCUAUUAGGCUGCACUGAACUGCAAUUUUUAACAUGGAUUUGUAACUUAAUGUUUCUGUUUAUAAGAUGCUAAUGAUUUGCAAUGUAUUUUACUGGCCAAUUAACACAGACGUUUUAUUCUU